ACCCACCACACGAUGGGAUAGGUGGUUAUUACCAUGCUCAGAGCUGUUCCAGCAAUGGGCUACAUAGCCAGCAAGGCAUGGUACACAGCAGCCAGUUGCUUCUUUAUCAAGGUGUACCAGACCUCUGCUCCUUUCCAUAGUUGUGACCAGAAUCCAAUAGGUUUGUGUGUCCAUUCAAGACACCAUCUAUAACCAUCUUCGGUUACAUGAACAUCGGGUUCACAGGGCCUUGAUGAGUCCAUUACAUUCAAGGCCUAUGUGGCCUUGACUGUCACUUGGCAGCAGUAAAAGCAGCUGCACAUGUCUCAUCCCAGUCCCACGUGAUGCCCUUUUGUACCAAACAGAAUAAGGGCUUCAGAAUUUGUGCCAAGUGCAGAAUAAACACUUUCCAGUAGCCCAAAAGAUCCAAAAACUCUUGUAAUAGAGCCACAGUGGUAGGGGUGGGGAAAGCCUGGACCUUGUCUGUAACUGCUUCAGAAACAACUUUAGUUUUACCGGACCAGACAACCCCCAAGAAUUUCACAGACAAAUCGGGUCCCUGAAACUUGGUGUUUUUCACAGCCCAUCCUUUUUCCUGUAGAUGUUGCAACGGUCUAGGAACUGCCCCUUCUAAAUCGUAAAGACAAUCAGAUAUGAGCAUAAGGUCAUCAAUGUAGUGAUACAACCACACUGUUUGCAGUUUCCUCUGUGUGGCCAAAUCCUGGGCUACAAGUCCAUGACAGAUGGUGGGACUGUGGAGAUACCCUUGGGGAAGGACAGUGAAUGUCCACUGCCGGCCUUCCCACAUGAAGGCAAACUGUUCUUGGCUUUCCUGUGUUAUGUCAAUAAAAAAGAAAGCAUUAGCAAGGUCAACUACAUAAUGACACAUUCCCAGUUCGUGGCUGAGGUUGUCCAGAAUGUCUGCGAUAGAGGGGACAGCAGCAUGCAAAGGUGGUGUGACUUUAUUCAAUUCCCUGUACUCUACAGUCAUAUGCCAGGAGCCAUCUGGCUUUCUCACUGGCUACACUGGGGAAUUAAAAGGACUAUGAGUGGGCUUUAUGAUGCCCACCCUAUCCAACUCCUGUUGAGUUUUUCCAAUUUGUGCCCCCCAGGCAAUUUAUACUGCUUACUAUUUGUCACCCGCCAAGGUACAGGCAGAGCUGCAGGUGGGUGCUUAGCAUGAGCCCUCAGAACUGCCUUUACCACACAUACCCUCAGUCUGAACUCACCUGUAGUGGUCUGUAACCACAGCCCUUGCAGGAUAACUAUCCCCCAAAUAUAUUCAGGGAUGGGAGAAAUAUACACGGUAUACUCCUUUGGGAGUAAACACUCUAUCCCCAAUGAGAUUUGGGCUUUUUUCACUCUAAUUGCCUUCCUCCCCAUAGCUAUCUAUCAGGGGUCCCAGGAAAAUGCUCAGGGUUGCCAUGAAUCAGAGAACACUCAGCUCCUGUGUCCACCAGUGCCAGGGCACGUUGUACAUUCACAGGGGACCAAUGAAUUGCUAAUUGUACAUGUGGCCUCUGGUCCCACCAUGUCCCCCAAGGUGGGGACUUGACCCACUCCUCAGUUGAACCACGAUGCUCAAUCAUCGUCCUGUGGGAGUGAGGGCUCAGGUGAAUCCUGAGUACUGUCUCCCAUGAAGUUUUGCAGGGAUACAGGCUGGGCAUGAGGCCUUCACUCUGGUUUCUGUGUCCUGGACCUCAGCAGCUUGAACUGCUGCUCUGGCUUUAAUUGGUGCCACAGCUCUAACUACAUUUUAUUGGGCUGCCCAUUGAGUUUUUCUUUCACUACCCUGGCCUUUAUCAAAUCAACCCACAUCUGGGUCCUCGAGACCUUCACGGGGCCUUUUGCACUUCUCCUUUCAGUCAUGGCCUGUACUUCCCUCCAUGCCCUUAUUGUUUCAACCUCCCCCAGAUCUGCUAAAGUAUAAGUAGCCUCCCUUAUGGGUUCCCUUAGGAUGGGGGAAAGAGUAUUCACUAGGGACCCAAGGAGAGAUGUGGGAGCUAUAUGCAGCACCAGGUUUCUCAUUCCUAUAGUGAACACCUCCUCAUCAGGGCCCUGGGCAUCCAUAUUAUAGAUGAUGCUUUUCAUACCCAAUUCCUGCAGUACCUGUUGGAGCUCUGCAUACAUUUUCCAACUACUGGGAAAAUAUGGUAAAUCACCCUGAUUAGGCCAAACUAUCCUGAUGGUGAUAGGGAAAAUUUACAAGGACAGCAACCUAGCGGGUGGCUCCACUCUUUGUCUCACACCCCUCCCUCCUCAACAUAAACAACUCUACAAGGACAGUAAUUUAGGAGGUGGCUCCCCUCUGCCUCGCCCCCCUCCUCAACCCAAACAAAAAAAACACUCCCUUGCUUUCCCUGUGCUGCGGAGCACCAGGUUCCAAGGUUCGCUACCUAAAGUCACUCCCCCUUGCCUGCUCGCUUGCUGUGCACGUAGGAAUGUUACAGAUAAGGAAGCAGAAAGGUAUAAAUUGCUCCCUUUUCCUUUGUUUGGGGCUCAGACUUUUUGGGAGACUACUCCCCUCUGAGCCCACUGGUAUGAAAUAAAGCCUCAACACUCCAAGACCUCCGAGUGCCACUUGGUUUUUUCCAUUGGUGAUCCAGUCCAGGCUAUUUUUCAGUAUUUUCUGUAACAUUUCGUUCCCUGACCGGGAAACCCAACCGCGCUGGCCCUUUGUUGCCACUGGUUUGGGGCAACAGCGGGAUGGUGAUGGAACAGAUCACAACGGCGAAGGCGCGCCCUGCCUGACCUUUUGGCAGUCUCCCACCCGGUCGCCCUGGGCCAGCCAUGCUCCACUGUUCCUGCUAGACUCAAGGAGGCUUGGCAUGUGAAGACCUGGUUCCGACAUCGAAUCCGGUAAGGCCCCCGGGGCACCUAACCCAGCCAGUCCCACCCAUUGGGGUGGAAAGGGAGCCUGAUCACCUCCCGGGAGGUUUAUUAGAAGUCUCACAGGUAGACAUUCCCAGGGGGGAAAUGUUUAAACUCUGGUCUGCCUGGGUGUGUGUGUAUGAGUGAGUGUGCUGGGCAGCUGAAGUCAUUCAGUCUGCACUGAAUCUAUGAUUCCACAGCCUGCAAUACGGAAUCUGCGUGUGCCCUCACCCGCUUUCGCGGUCAGCCGUCAGGGCAUAUCGAUGAUUCAGCUUUGGCUGACCUGGCCUGGAACUUAUACAGGUGCACUUUAGCCAAGGCUGACCAGUCUCGCGACGGGAUGGGCAUCUGACUGGUCUGCUCUCUAGAUGAGGCAUCCCUCCCUUGUCUGUUGUCGUGGCACUGUCCACGGAUACAUCAUGGGGUCAGGGCAUAGUAAACCCACAGUUCUCGACACUAUGAUCAAGAAUUUCAGAAAGAGAUUUUCAGAAAAUAACAGAGUAAAAUUAACUCUUGGCAGGUUGAAAACCCUGUGUGAUGUAAUAAGUAUCAGACCAUCCAGCGCAGCCAGUCCAUGUUUUACUAUCAACCCUUCUCCACAACUGAAACCCCGUCAGAAAAGCCAUAAGCAUGGGUUGAUCUUAUGUAACCCCUCUUCUAAAUCAUUUGGCCAACUUAAAAAAAAAACUGUCAACAGCUUCUCAGUAUCCUGUUCACAAUAGAAAAGAAGAGGCAGCUGGGGUCCUUGGUCAGGGUGCAUAGGCUGAAAUUGCUGUCCCCGAGGAACACCCCAAGAGGGACUUCACCCCUGAGGGACAGCACCAGAUCCACCGAUACCAGGACGCCCUCCUCCAGGAGAUCAAAGCUGGGUCUGAAAAGCCUAUGAACAUGACUAAAGUUUUUUCAGUCACUCAACAACCAGAAGAAUCUUCUAGAGACUAUUAUGAGAGACUGUGUGAAACUUAUCGCAUCUGCACCCCUUUCAACUCUGAGUCACCAAGGAGCCAGCAGGUAGUAAACACCAUAUUCAUAGCCCAAGCUGCACCAGACAUCAGAUGAAAGCUCCAAAAGCUUGAGUGCUUCACUGAGAUGACUGAUAUUGCCAAAAAAAAAAAAAAAAAAAAAUCUAAACAAAGAAGUUCAGCCCAACAGAGAGGAAAAAAAAAAAAAAAUUAGGCAAGUGUCCUGGCAGCUGCCCUGAAAGAGACGGAUGGGCAGAAGGCAGAGAGAAGCCAGUCACCUAGAGGGGGGAAGCCCAGGAACCCCCUAGCCAGAGACCAGUGUGCUUACUGUAAAAAUAAAAGGGGGGGGGCAUUAGAAGGAUGAAUGCCCCAAAUGAGGAAAAGCCCCAAAGCCCAGUCGCUGCCAGGAAGAGCCCCGUGAGGAAAGGCUCAUAAGUGUGGCAGGAGCAGACUCAGACAGACAAGGACCAGGCUCUCUUGCACUCGGCCCCCGUGAGCCCAUGGUCAGAAUGAAAGUGAGGGGCCAAAACAUGACUUUUAUAGUUAACACAGGGGCAUAACACUCUGUGGUCACCCUCCCUGUAGCCCUCUUCAGUGAAAAAGUCUGCAACUAUUCUCAGUGAAAGAGUAUCUCACCGCGACCCUCCUUAUCCAGGAUGACUCAGGUGACAUGGGCCCACGCAAGAGAUCUUUUAUCUGAAAGAGAAAGUGGCUGCCCCAGAGAGAUAGAGAGAGAGAAAGAGCAAUGGGACAGAGAGACAGAAAGCUGAGAGAGCAGAGGUACAGAGAGACAGAGAGAGAGAGCAAGCAGCAGCACGGUGCAGAGUUGUGCCUUUUAUUGUGGUAAAUCCCCUUGGCCUGUUGCCUUGGGGAUGGUCGGGAUGUUUAGAGAUAAGGUGGGGUAGGCCCAGGCAUGAUUCUCACCGGCUUAUGUGCUUGAGACCAUGCAGUAAAUGAAAGAUAAAUUACUAUAUUCUUACACUUGGAGCCACAAAGACAGUGGCAGUAUCCCCUCUCACAAGAGGCGAGAGCAGGCAUCCAAGAAUGCCUAAUCAGACUCAGAGAGGCAGGCGCCAGUGUCUCAGAGAGAAAUCAAGGCAGAAAAUUAAUCUUUAAUAUUCAAGGACCCCAUGCCAUCCUACUCUGUUACUAACCCUCAGGCCCUGUAUUAUCAACAGGCUGGUCCAGUUUGUCAGAGACCAUGUGGAGGCUGUCCGACUGAUAGUCCUCCAUGCUCAAUACAAGCCUCUAGUAAUACUGUUACACCUGCUUACCUUUGAACCGUGUAUCCUCAAUAGACUGAUGACUUUUGUCAAAGAUAAAAUUAAUACAGUCCAGCUAAUGAUGCUAAGACAACAGUAUCAGCCUUUAUCUCCUAACAACUGCAAGAGGUUCUGGGAUCCCAGAGACCCCCAGGACUCCUGACCCAGAGGGCCCAGUGCUGGCUGGUGAGUGCACUCAGUUAUCUGUCUGUCUUUGUCUAUCUGUGUCUCACUGUUUUUGUUCGUGAACAAGCCUGUAUAUGCCUGUAGGAGCUCCAAUCUGUAUCAGGGUUGGCAUUGACUUAGGCGGACGCGCUGGUGGGUCGUUGACCGGGGGUCUUGGGAGAUGUCCCUUGCCCCCAUCUGGAGGACGAGGUCCUCAUCUGUGAGGAAAGUCAGCUGCCACUGCGGUCCGACAGGCCCUCAACUUACUUUCAGUUUUGCCUCUGCGGCCGCGGCAGAUUCUUCCCUGUAGGUGCCUGUUUGUUGUUUGUUGUGUUUGUCUUAGUCUUGUUGUUGACAGAAGAAAUGAGACAGAUGCAAACGACCCCCUUGUCUCUCAUGACAGACCAUUUUCCAGACGUUAGGGAGAGAGUUCACAAUCUGAGCAUGGACGUCAGGAAGAGAAAAUUUCGUGUUUUCUGCACCUCCGAGUGGCCAUCCUUUAACGUUGGCUGACCGCUGGAGGGAACAUUUGAUCUAACCACUCUUUUACAGGUUAAAGAUAUCAGGAGAAGAGCUAACAACCUCGGUGUGGAAGACGGGAAGGGUCGGUAGUAGACUUUUUGUUCUAGCGAGUAGUCAGCUUUCGAUGUCAGAUGGCUGCCAGAGGGAACCUUAUUAUGUCUCAAUCUGUAUGUUUGUGUGUAUAAAUGAAAAUAUCUUUCUACCUCCGGAUGGUAUUAAUGAAAUUGAUUUAAAGACAAGUACUUGUGAAAAUUUGGCAUUCUAAAACUCCCAGAAAAUUCUAAUAGAAAAUAUUAAGCAUUAAUGCUAAUUUAAGUUAAACUGAAACAGACAUGUCCUUAUAGUUAUCAGCCACCUAAGUUUACCUAAAGUCAUUUAAGUUGAUGUUAUCUGCUAAAUCUUUCAAGAAUAAAAUGCUUAGAGGCUUGACUUUGUCUAAUAUUCAGUAAAGGUUUUGUAAGUAACCUAGCAUAGUUGUUAGGAAUGAGUGAACUAAAUAAGUGUGGUAAAUGAACACUUUAAUAAUUGUGUGUUACAGUGUGUAUACCUACGUACAGCCUGAGAAUCUUUGUACCUACAGCCUGAGAAUUUUAGUAACCUAAAACCUUAAAGUUUUGCUAAGUUAAAAAGACAUACUUUAUGCUUAGUGAGAAGUUGUGCUGUAAAGCUCAUGGUUACAGAAAUUAUAAAAUGUAUUCAUAAAUUUGUCAAUCUAAAAAAUGUUAGCUUAACAGUUUACAAUAGCCUACUUCUCAGUGUUCACUGAAAUUUAAAGUUCCUAAUGGUUUAAGUUCUAACUAAAACUACUUAAAGUAAUAAGGAAAGCAUUUCCCUAUGCAAAAAAAUGUAUGUUUUAAAAAGAGAAGGUAUAAAGAAUGGAAAUUCGUUCUGCAUGCUAAGGAAUGUGUCUUUUGAUAAAAGAAAGUAACUUUGUUCUAAAGUAGAGCUGUUUAUUUAGAGGGAGAAAUCUAAAUGUAAAAAGAAAGUUGUAGAAAGUUUUAGAAGAAUUUAAUAUAGUCAUGCUAUAUAAAAUUAAAGCAAAUAAGUCUCAGUAUCAAGUACACAGCAAAAUUAAAAUUUUGUUUUCAGUUAAAAAGACAGUCUUCUUAACUGUUAGUCUGCUCUUAAUAUUGAAAGAUUGCAAAGAGUUCUCUAAUUGUUUUAUCAAAGCAGUUUCUCAUACUUAAAGUCUCAAUGAGUUGUUGGAGUAUUAAAAAAAAAUGAGAUCUUAAUAUUAAAAAGACUAAAAGCUAAAGUUUGCUAACAACUGUGUAAUCUUUUGUUACAUAAGAUUAAGUAAACUAAAGAAGAUGAUGUUGUGUCUUUUUGUCUCAAAUGUUGCUACUAAGUAUUUUAAGCUUUUUCUCUUAAGCUGACAACAGUUUAGUAAAUGACUAUCUUUAUAAGCAGAAUUGUAACAUUUAUCUUUCUCCCUACCUAAUCCCUCCAGAAUUUAAAAACUUUCAGUGACUAUUUUUAUAUUUCAUGGCAGUAUGUUUAUUUGCAUAAGUUCAAUAAGAAUCUGCUUUCCUUGUAAGAAGACCAAUUAAAACCACUGGUUAUACUACCAAGGCUUUGACUAGAAUGUCAUACCUGAGAAGCACGUGCAUAAACUCAGAUAUGAACAGCUUUAAGGAACUAAGGUUGACUUUAUAAAGCUAACAAAGCCCCUCCGAAGAACUGUCCUGGUACCUUGUUUACGGGGUUCCCAGCAACCUUACCAGGUGAGUAAAGAAGGUCACUGCCUGACAGGUGCAGGAACCUCAGAGAAGGGAGGAAUUAACCCAAAUGUACAGGUACUGCAGGCACAACCUGAGGGCAAGGCUAGCUUGGCUUUCUCGUGUCAAGAAGCCUUUAAAAGUCCAAUCUGAAAUUACUUAUAAAAAGUUCCAGCAAAGCAUAUUUAAAAGCGCCUAUGUAAUCAAUUGCUCUUCUUGCUGCACUUAUGCAAAUAAUUAAACCAAGUGUUAUUUUCUUAAUCUGGCUACUUCUAAUAAAAAUGAGGGUGAUUUUAGAGAAAAAUAUUGUUUCAAUAAUGCAGUCUUAUCUCUACUAAAUCCUAAUACUAGUCAUUGAGAUGUAAACUUGAUCCAGAAUUCUAGUUUCCCCAUGAUACCUGGCUGUGACUCUCAAUUAGACUCUUCAUAUUUCUAGUUCUCAUAUUCAGCCAUGCAUUCUUAAUCUUGUCAGGUUUGUCCUUCCAGAAUAGAAAAUCCAACUCCAGAUAUUGCUACUUAAUAAUAUGAUUUGUUCUAUCUCACCUAGAAGCCACAAAACUGCAAAUAGUAAUAGAAAUGAAACUCAGAAUAGAAGAGCCAACCUUCUGAGGCCCUCUGAACUGACCAGUGAUGGAGACCUAACUGCACCCAGUACUGCGGCCCCUCUCAGCAUGAAGCAGCCAGAGCGGUCAUCACCCCUUUUCCCUAGCAGCAGCUAAGGUCUCUAUCUGUAGAGCGGAGAAUGAGACAAGGACCAUAGGCUUAGACAGAAUAAGGUUGCAGGCAUCACUCCAAGAGUCCGUCAUUCCAGAGUGAAAAAAAGCCUGUCAUCCUAACAAAGAAGCACAUUAGCAGGAGGCCCGGCCAGACCUCCAUAUCCUCUCCGCCUCCGCAUCUGACAAUUGCCCUCUGACUAAUAGACACCUGCGCGCCGUAGAUUCUGGCUCUUGUUGGAGUAGUGUCUUUUAUUCUGGGCAUUGGACUCUAUGCUAUUGCACCCCUGGACUGGACUAUUCCUCAAAAAAUGUUGCCCUUUCUAUUGUCUAUUGGGUAAUCAUUAAAUUGUUUUACUGUGCUUACCUGUCUCUCCUAGCUGGACCCAAGUCUCAGCCUGCAUUUCCAAAGUACCUCUCUGUAAUGUUUCAUUGUAUAAAAGUUAUAAAGUGCAUAGUGGGCUAAAGGGAGCUACCUCCUUUUCCCCAGUGAGAUUUCCUAGGCAGAACAAGCUGCCCCUUUACUGAUCCCAGCUCUAGUUGGGCUCAGUAGAGCUAGAUCAGCUGCAGUAGGCACAGCAGCUCUAAUAAAGUGACUUAGGGCUUGAUGCCCUAACAGAGGAAGCUGAUCAAGAUUUAGAGCAGCUUGAAACCACCAUGAUUCAGCUGCAAGAUCAGACUGAUUCCCUGGCUAAAGUAAUGUUGCAAAAUUGUAGAAGACUAGACCUCCUGUUCAUGUCACAGGAAAGCUUAUGUAUAGCCCUGAAAAAAGAUUGUUGUGAGUUAUCUAGCCAAAGUUAAAGAAAACAUCCAGCAUAGAAAUAAAAUGUUUGAAAAUAAAAGGUCUUAGUUCCAGAGAUGGUUUGAAUAGAAUCCAUGGCUAACAACUCUUCUAACUGGCCUUGCUGGGCCAGCGAUUCUGCUGUUCCUUAAACUAUUAAUGAAACCCUGUAUAUUUAACUGGCUCAUUAACUUUAUCGAGGAAUGCCUUUCCUCCAUACAGCUCAUGUAUAUGUGGAGCCACUAUGACCCUGUCAUAAGCCAAAGAGAUGAUGCCCCCUAGGUGUUUAAAGGGGCAUCAGAGGGGGGAAUCAUAGGGAAAAUUUACAAGGACAGCAACCUAGCGGGUGGCUCCACUCUGUCUCACACUCCUCCCUCCUCAACAUAGACAACACUACAAGGACAGUAAUUUAUGAGGUGGCUCCCCUCCGCCUUGCCCCCUUCCUCAACCCAAACAAAAAAAACACUCCCUUGCUUUCCCUGCGCUGCCCAGCACCAGGUCCCAAGGUUCACUCCCUAAAGUCACUACCCCUUGCCUGCUCGCUUGCUGUGCACGUAGGAAUGUUACAGAUAAGGAAGCAGAAAGGUAUAAAUUGCUCCCUUUUCUUUUGUUCGGGGCUCAGACUUUUUGGGAGACUAAUCCCCUCUGAGCCCGCCGGUGUGAAAUAAAGCCUCAACACUCCAAGACCUCCGAGUGCCCCUUGUUUUUUUCCGUCAGUGAUCCAGUACAGGCUUUUUUUCAGUAUUUUCCGUAACAAUGGCAGCCGUCAGCCAUUCCAAGAGUGUCUGAUUCCCUGAGGUGUGACAGGCAUUUUGCAACUGAGGCUGGAGGGAAGGGUAUUUUGCCCCAGGAUUUCCUCCCCCCGGACUAACAGGCAAUUGAAGAUUUUUUUGGAAAGCACUAGAUAUUGGAUGAUGUCACACAUCAUGAUUAAAUUUUCUUAGGCAUGGGCAAGGAAACGAUAUGGUCAUGAUGGUAAUUGUUGAGGCAUGUGUUAUGGACACUUGGAGGUACGUUAUUUUCUUACGUACACUUACGUAUGAUUCAGUAUGCCCGCAAUCCCUUCCCUGCUUCCUUCUCCCUGCUCCUCCUUACCCCACUUCCAAAAAUGUUUUUAAGAAACCUGGCCCAAUUAACGAACAUAUUCUCUUUUGGUCAGCAAAAGAUGACACCAAGAGAGAAAAAGAAGAGGCUAUCUGCCCAAGGGAGAUAACUCACAACAGCUGUCCCCUCCUUUCAUUGCACAGGCCGGAUAGAGUAAAGAAUUGCUAUCGCCAUCUUGUGGCCCGUUAGGAUAAUGCACCUAAACUUUUGUUAAAUGGUUUCUAUUAGGCAGUCCAUUGUUAGGGUUUAAUAAUUCAUAUAGAAAGAAUACCAUAAGCAAUCCAGUUCCUAACAGUCAACUGCCAGGUUCCCCCAUCAAUAACAAAGAACCACUCUUAAUAGUUUCCCGUGUACCGGUCUGGAAAAAUAAAUAUAUAAAUGGAGAUUCUCUUCUUCCUCUAACACAAAUGGCCAAUGGUUAUAUUCCUCUCAUGAUUCUGACCCUUUUUUUCUAAUUAUCUAGUUUAGAACCCUUUCCUAUAAGUA
Long non-coding RNA from Manis pentadactyla (Chinese pangolin), 10563 nucleotides. RefSeq lists it as uncharacterized. Lineage: Eukaryota; Metazoa; Chordata; Mammalia; Pholidota; Manidae. The transcript is spliced from 3 exons. The record is from RefSeq and is a predicted model, not a curated record.